Molecule: ribosomal RNA, 306 nt
Filed under: Cladosporium sp.
Lineage: Eukaryota; Fungi; Ascomycota; Dothideomycetes; Cladosporiales; Cladosporiaceae
Description: SSU rRNA
Rfam family: Eukaryotic small subunit ribosomal RNA
Source: RNAcentral
GGACCGCUGAGCGUUAAGCUCGUAGUUGACCUUGGGCCUGGCUGGCCGGUCCGCCUCACCGCGUGUACUGGUCCGGCCGGGCCUUUCCUUCUGGGGAACCUCAUGCCCUUCACUGGGCGUGUUGGGGAACCAGGACUUUUACUUUGAAAAAAUUAGAGUGUUCAAAGCAGGCCUUUGCUCGAAUACAUUAGCAUGGAAUAAUAGAAUAGGACGUGUGGUUCUAUUUUGUUGGUUUCUAGGACCGCCGUAAUGAUUAAUAGGGAUAGUCGGGGGCAUCAGUAUUCAAUCGUCAGAGGUGAAUUUCUC